Molecule: long non-coding RNA, 301 nt
Filed under: Oryza sativa Indica Group (long-grained rice)
Lineage: Eukaryota; Viridiplantae; Streptophyta; Magnoliopsida; Poales; Poaceae
Description: lncRNA OsLiXu_03g0023730
Source: RNAcentral
CAAUUUGCUUAUAGGCUUUAUUUGCUAUCUUUUCGUAUCCGUAAGUUAGACCAUACAACAAGUUCUAUCGGCAUCCAAGGAGCUGACGUGGACCUAGAUGGCUACGCUGAAGCCACUGUUGGUUGGCUCACUAGGAGCAGGAUUGGGGUGAACGCAUGUGUAAGGAGGUUGGGGGCAUGGUUCACAACGGUGGAACCCGGUGAAAGCAGCGACCAAGUAGCCUUGCUUAGGCCCAGCAAGUGCCCGACUGCUAGGACGGAUCAAUAUCCCACUCGUGCAGUAACUAGUUAAGUGGGACCUU